Molecule: long non-coding RNA, 728 nt
Organism: Labrus mixtus (cuckoo wrasse)
Lineage: Eukaryota; Metazoa; Chordata; Actinopteri; Labriformes; Labridae
Exons: 3
Source: RefSeq, a predicted model, not a curated record
UAGUAUUCAGAGAUUUGUAGAAUCAGUGCCAAGGCACAUUGAAGCUGGUCUGGCUGCCUGUCGUAGCACAACACCUCACUAAGACACUUAAUGUUGAGACUGUCUUUUUUUACCUGCCUGUAUAUGUGUUUAUGAUUUACUUAAGAAUAGAAUAGUUCAAAUAUUCAGGAAAUGUUUUGUAAUUAAAGAAAGAGAGGCUUUUUGACUUUGAAUUAAGGUUUUCAAGUACUUAUUACUCAGGGUAUUAAUUGCUUAUUUUUUGUCCAUUUAAAUUAUUUCAGGGGAAGAGCUGGGGUUUGAUCCACUGGAAAAUGACACAAAGAUAUGACUCACGCUGGAGAAGAAAAGUUAGGAUUCCAGAAAAUACUUGCAAAAGAUACAGAAAAAAGCAGGACACACAAAGAGUGGAGAACUCAGAAUCAACAAACUGGAGGCCAGAUGGUUGCUGCACAGAAGGACUAGAGUGCCAUGCUACUCCUGAAUCUGCUGACUUCGCCCUUGAGGAACAUCCAUCAAUCAGGAAUUUGUGUGACAACAACAACCAUAGAUUUUCCCAAUGCUCUGAACACACAAAAGAGACACAUCACACUGGCCUUAAUGAAGAAUCAGAGAGUGAAGAUCCUUUUCACAUAGAUACAUUUGGUCACCCCCUACAUGAGUUUGUUGAGGAGGGAACUUUAGAUCAUAACCAGUCAUCUGAUGAUGACCUGACCUUUUGAUGAAGACCU